RNAcentral lists this unclassified non-coding RNA (628 nucleotides) under Schizosaccharomyces pombe (fission yeast). RNAcentral's name for it is "antisense RNA (predicted)". Lineage: Eukaryota; Fungi; Ascomycota; Schizosaccharomycetes; Schizosaccharomycetales; Schizosaccharomycetaceae. The record is from RNAcentral.
UCUACUAUCUGCUCGCAGAAUUAAUGUAUCAAAUUUUGAUUGAUUUGGAAUAUAAUCUACCUGUUUUCAAACCUUCUUAUAGCAUUACUUAAAAUUUUCUUUUUUUCAAAAAUAAAAAGGAAGUUGGUGUAAAAUUCAUGAGUGUCAUUAUAAUCACAAAGCUUUUGCUAGAUAUCAUCUUGAACAAAUUGGUAUCUUUCCAUUUAAACAUGAUUUCUCGUAUACGAAUAUUGCAUUUCGUGUAACAGUUAAGGCUGCUAUGCUAAAUAUUCAUAAAUGCGACCAUUAUCGGCUUGUCUUUGUAGGUACUCCCGCUCUAUUAAAGCUUCAAUUCGUCGCUUAAUCAUCAUCGGACUAGGGUGGAAACGAGGGUUUAACUGUCUUGUAACCUCUGCCAUCAGCUGAUUGUGUUCGCACACUUUGCGAUCCCUUAAUUUACUGUUAGUAAAAAUGUUUGAAAAAAAAAAAAAAGGAAAAAGACAUACUUCAUCACUCUAACAAUACAGGCAUCUGCUUGAUGCUUCCUUGACUCGUCUACCUUCUCUAAUGUACGUUUUCUCUCACUAUCAUCCUCAACACGAGUCUGAGCAACUGUCGAUAUUUUAAUCCGGGCGAGAUUUGAAACAAA